This is a long non-coding RNA of Aegilops tauschii subsp. strangulata, 4915 nucleotides long. RefSeq lists it as uncharacterized. The record is from RefSeq and is a predicted model, not a curated record. Lineage: Eukaryota; Viridiplantae; Streptophyta; Magnoliopsida; Poales; Poaceae.
UAGGUUGCCGCCGCCCCCGUCCCCGCCCCCGCCCCAUCAGUGCCUCGCAGCUCCUCCGUCGCCCGCCACCAGAGAAACUCCUUUCGUCGACCGCCACCAGAGAAACUCCUUCGUCGACCGCCACCAGAGAAAGCGCCCGCCUCAGAUCCACCUCUCCCCAAACCAUCCAUCAUGGUUGCAGAGGAGGGGGAGAAAGGGGAUGGCAUCAAGGUGCGGACGGAGGCCCUGCCUCGGGGCGGCGAGUUGCAGAGGAGAUUCUGUGGUCGUUUUAUGCGUGGUGGGUCUGGAGAUGCGCCACAGUGGCGCGGCAUGGGUUUGCGUGCGUGCGUUGGGCGGCAGGUGGUCAAAGAACGUGGCGGCUCAGUCGCGUAACUCGAUCCCCUCCACUACGCCGAGAAAUUACAUGUGGUCGCUCCAAUAGUGUAAGUGGCUAUCAAGAAACAUGUCAGGGAUCCAGCGCCAUAUGUUAGGAGAUGUGCAGCAUAUGUACUUUAUUGUAGGUGCUUUGUUUAGUGAAAAUUCCUCUGGAGUACUAGGAGCUUCCAUGGUUGGCAUUUAAGUCGGUUUGUCCAUAUUGUUUAUGGUUGAUAGCAAAGUAUUCCGGAGCCUCUGUGAAACACUCCCUGAAGUUGAAGAAUGGUCUAAGAUUAAUUGAGAUUUUCUUGUUGUAUGUGAUAGCAAACAUGGAUUGGUCAAGGAUUCUGCAAUGUUUGCUUGAAGUUUGCUCUCGAGAUCCAUGGUGGUAGGGAUUCAGCUCCUGUUAAUAAUAUAUAUCCAGCACCCAACAUGAAACUAUUGUUAAUGGAAGUUGUGGCACUAGGUCAAACAUUAUGUUGUUCCCGUAUUACAUUGGAGAAUAUUCAGGAUGUUUCUAUAGGGACGAUGAGAAAUUCAGCUUUCCAAAAUAGUGGAGUGAUACUUGCAGCAGCAAGUGUUCAUUGGAUAAUGGCUCUAGCUAAGGAAUUGAAGAGAAUUCUUGGCCCAAUUUUAUUUACUCUGUGUUCAUCCCCUGACGCAACAUACCCGGCACAGGAAUUAAAGACAUGAUCACUAAGUUGACUAGCCUAUUAAACACAAUAAGGGUCGCUACAAGGGCGAGCGCUCGUUGUGUCCACCUCUCCAUUUUUUACUAUGCCGGGUUUUACUGUAGCGACGAAGGGAGAAACAAAUCCAGCGACUCUUCCCCUCGCCAAUGCCCUCUUUUGUUUUCUCCUCCCACAGCUAGGAUUCUUUUGUAUAUAGUCUAUAAGGUGUUUGAUGAAAUGCAAGAAGGCAGCUGGGGACGAGAUCUGCCUGCAGAGGUUGUUGCUUUACCAUCACUGUUCUUGUGUCGUGCCUAAUGGUAAGGGAUAUUGAAAUAUGGAUACCACAAAUUAAAGUGACAUUGGUGAUUCACACCGACAAGCCAUAUGAUGGAGUAUGGGAGGCUUUAGAUGUGGUUGCAUGGAAGCGUUUGUCAAGUUGGUCAGUGACCAGUUCUGCUCGCUGUUUUCAGGUUACCAUCCUCUUGCUCUUUUUUGUCAGGAAGCAUUCUCAUCUUUUGUUCGCAUGAGUAAGAUGCAGCAUGCUGACGCUCUAUUAGUUUUAUUUAUUCUUGCCAAAAAAUAGAAAGUAAAAUGUGCGAAGAUACAACAUUGAUGACGGGCUUGCGACUCUCAACACCCUCGACCCCCACCAUUCCUCUCUCUCCAUUUUGGUCUCGUCCACUAUCCACUAGAUAGGAAGACAAACAGGUGCUUCCUCUAGGUAUAAUUUUUUGCUAAUGUCAUUGAAUUUCUCGUGAGAUCUCUCUAGACCUUCCCAAAAGUAUUUUAGUUUGGUGUUCAUAUGUAUUAACUAGCCGAAGAAGGGAUGCAAAUGGAAGAAUUUGAUAUGCAUAAACUCCCGUCAUUGAAUCAGGAACAGAAAAUUGUUAGUUUGCUCGUUUGUUUCCUUUCUUGUCUAGCCUGCUCCACAUAGGUUUUAGUUUUACAGUGAAAAGCUACACAAUUUGUGAUGGCGAUGAAAGGACUGAAAGAUUUGCUCAAAGCAAAAGCGUCUAGCCGGGAUACAUAUGGUAAGAAUCUUCAGAUAUUGACUUCUUUUCAUCUGCUAUUGAGAUAUAUACUUGCUCAUAGGUCACAAGUCAUGAAGUUACUUCCUUUUCCUUUUGUUUCUGAGAUAUAUAUGUGCUCAUAGGUGCUGAGACAUUUCGGAAGGUUCUCAUCUGCAUAGAUUAGUUGAUAGGAUGGCAAUUUAAGUUUAUUGAAGCUCAUUUUUAGGAGGCGGGGGUCUGCUUUGGUUUCUUACUAUUUGCCUAUUCUCUUAAAAAUACAUGAGUGGAUGCAACUGGCAGUUUGUAAAUCAAUAAUUUGGAUGGUUCUAAUUUUUUAAUUUUUAGGGGAAAAUUCCUUUGUUCGUUGAAUAAAUCAUGUUCGUUACAAUCAGAUUGCACACAGGUUGCUAUAUCAAAAAGUAGUGCCUUGUACCGGCUAGCAUCCCUAUUGCUAUUUCUCCCUAUCUUCUUCACCUGAAUAUAUUGCCUCCAUCGAACAGGGCUACUGUUAUUGAUCAUAAGAUCUGACUGUUCUAUGAUUACUAGAUGAAGCUACAGUGGUUAACCUGCUAUAUAGUGCAUGUUCUAGGUUUGUUAUACUGAAAAUGGUUAUUGUUCUUGAUCGUAUGUAUGAUCUCAUACUGUUCUAUGAUUACUAGAUGAAGCUACAAUGGUUAACUUGCUAUAUGGUACAGGUUCUAGGUUUGUUAUACUGAAAAUGGCUACUGUUCUUGAUCAUAUGAUCUUAUAUCAUAUACGUGCAAAUCAGGCCUUUAGGCCACUGGAAUUUCACUAUCGUUUCAUUUAGGAAGAGUAGAUUGAUCCAUUAUCUGGGGUAGCAUAGAGAACACAUUGUCUACCUGCAUAGAGAUAGUACCAAAGUGAAUUAUAUGUGUUUCAUCACCUUUAUUAAUUCUCCCUUCUUCUUUUAGCUUAUUAGUUGCUAACCUGCAAAGAGGUAGUACCAAGCAUGAUCUCUGGUUUGCCAUGUACGAGUCAUUUUAUUAAGCUGACAUUAGUAAUUUUGCAUUUUACGUAGUUCAUGUGCAAGUUAAACGUCUAUCGAAUAAUACUAAUAUUAAGUUUAUAAUGUUGGCAGUCUGUUAUUGCCGUUGUUUUCUUGGGAGUACUUCAGAAGGUGCAGUUGGGAAGGUGAGGACACACCAUGGCAGAGGUGCGUGGUUGGCAGGACGAGUCAGUGAGGCAUGCCGGUGGACAUGUGGAUGUUUAUCAUGGCAUUGACACAUUUCACUCCACCGACACUGCAUACCAACGUGAGGCCUUAGAUACUCUGUUCCUUCUGAUAUGGACAUGAAGGUUAAAGCCAUAAUCAAACUUAUCAAUGAAGAUGUUGAUUCUUUUGGAAGGAGAGCAGAGAUGUACCAAAAUAUUUUUUUUCGAUGGGAAAGGAGCCGUCAAAUUUCAAGAAGUUCAAAGGUUGACUGUAGAGAUCAACAUGGCAAAUGAAAAAUGGGAUGCGCUCAUGCAGAGCAAGAUGCACCAAGAGAGCGCUAUUCGUGAGCUGAAGAUGGAAAUCGGGAGCCUCACUGAACAAAAUCACUCUUCCGAGCUGCUUAUACAACAACUCCGUGGUGAGAUAAAUUCAUUGAGGGAUUCGAAGGGUGAACUCUAAAUUUAAAUUUGAAGCCUGCUUGUGUACAAAUGUAUUGAUGUGUGUCUUCCCUAGAUUGCUUUGGGUUUGCGCAUGUGCUACUGUUGAUCAAUGGCUGCUGAGUUUCAACAUUGUUUUCACGUUCUUCACAAAUGCACUGAUGGUUUGUCCAAUUCAAUUGGCUCUCAAUUUUGGCGGGAGAUCGCAGAGCACAAUUAUAUGGUUUGACUGUUGUAUGUUCUUACUUUCUCUGUUUCACAAAUCGUGUUGUGAAGUGUGAUCACCUCAACUUGUGGCUCCAACCAUCUACAUAGUGGGAUCACUACAUAAUUCCCUGUGAUUCACAUCGCUUCAUCAGUUAAUUAGUUUAUGUUACAUGCAAUUGAUUCAAUGUUUACAAUCUGUGGUAUACAAGCUCACAAAUCUAUUAAUACAUUUUUUGUAUGUUCACCUGUAAAUAUAUCCAAGAUUUUCCAUGGCUGAUUGAGAUGACGUUGGAGUUCUUAGGAGCUGCAACAAUACAUGUUUUUUUCUUUGUUAAUGACAUGUAUUAUAUCAGUAGUUAUUUUGGAAGAACUUUUGGACUUUUUGACAGCUGAACUGAAACCAUCUGUCAUAGUAAUAGCUACAAGAUUUCAUUACACGCUGGGAAUACGAAAAUGAAUUGUGGUAAUUCACUUAUUCUAGCAUAAUCAGUCACGCUGCGAUUUUCUGCAUGCGUGUGACACCAAUAUACUUCUAUUUUUAGUAUUGGGUUCUUCUAAAGGAUAACUUCUUCUGCUCUCAUAGUCAUUUUUCUUAGAGUACCGGUAUGAAAUAUGAUAGUGAUAUGCAAGAUGGUGCUGAUCGACGGUGGUCGGCAAGGCGGCAGGAGGCGAAGAUGAUGACUGAUACGGUGGCCAACGGAUAAAAGAUGUCGUUUAACUCCAUUUCCCAGUGGGGGCCUCUUCAUGGGCUGAUCUAGCAUCAGGACGCAUGGGAGGAGAGACGGCUCUCAUGUAUUAGGAUGUUGCACACUUGGUGGACCAGUCGACGCGGUUGUUCCACGCGCUGCUCUUGUUGAUUUGUUCUUGACACAUCCUUUGUUCUAUUGUAUUUUUUGAAUCAGUUGGUGGUAUAUAUUAACAAGUAUCAUUCAUUCUGUCACUUUUGAACCACCGAUAUUGUUUGUAAUCACUCCUCUAGACUGCAAAACUGCUGCUUUUGUGUUAUGUGUCCUUUUUCAAGAAGCGGCAACAUGAUAUUGUGUGUGUUAUUAUAUUGCUAUC